This 475-nucleotide ribosomal RNA is filed under the name uncultured Geobacter sp. Its description in RNAcentral is "bacterial SSU rRNA". It matches the Rfam family "Bacterial small subunit ribosomal RNA", at positions 73 to 526 of the family's 1533-position model. Lineage: Bacteria; Pseudomonadati; Thermodesulfobacteriota; Desulfuromonadia; Geobacterales; Geobacteraceae. The record is from RNAcentral.
CCAGAGCUUGCUCCGGUGAAAGUGGCGCACGGGUGAGUAACGCGUGGAUAACCUGCCCUGGUGUCUGGGAUAACAUCUCGAAAGGGGUGCUAAUACCGGAUAAGCCCACGGGCUCCUCGGAGCUUGCGGGAAAAGGUGGCCUCUAUUUAUAAGCUACCGUAUCAGGAUGAGUCCGCGUACCAUUAGCUAGUUGGUGGGGUAAUGGCCCACCAAGGCUACGAUGGUUAGCUGGUCUGAGAGGAUGAUCAGCCACACUGGAACUGAGACACGGUCCAGACUCCUACGGGAGGCAGCAGUGGGGAAUUUUGCGCAAUGGGGGAAACCCUGACGCAGCAACGCCGCGUGAGUGAUGAAGGCUUUCGGGUCGUAAAGCUCUGUCAGAGGGGAAGAAAUGAAACGUGCUAAUAUCACGUUUUCUUGACGGUACCCUCAAAGGAAGCACCGGCUAACUCCGUGCCAGCAGCCGCGGUAAUAC